AGAGAAAACAAAAGUGAUUUCCUAAGUAGCGGCGAGCGAACGGGAAUUAGCCCAAACCAUAAUUGUUUAGGCAAUUAUGGGGUUGUAGGACUUGUAUAAUCAAAUAGAAACGAAGUAGAACGCUUUGGAAAGAGCGACCAAAGACGGUGAUAGUCCGGUAUACGUAAGGUUCUGUGCGAGACGAGUAUCCUGAGUAGUGCGGGACACGAGAAAUCCUGUAUGAAUCUGGCGGGACCAUCCGUUAAGGCUAAAUACUCCUGAGAGACCGAUAGUGAACCAGU
RNAcentral lists this ribosomal RNA (281 nucleotides) under Carboxylicivirga sp. M1479. RNAcentral's name for it is "Bacterial large subunit ribosomal RNA". It matches the Rfam family "Bacterial large subunit ribosomal RNA", at positions 216 to 499 of the family's 2925-position model. Lineage: Bacteria; Pseudomonadati; Bacteroidota; Bacteroidia; Marinilabiliales; Marinilabiliaceae. The record is from Rfam by way of RNAcentral.